UAAGACGAACCGUGCAAACGUUGUUCGGAAUCACUGGGCUUAAAGGGCGCGUAGGCGGUCUGCCAAGUCCGGGGUGAAAUACUUCAGCUUAACUGGAGAAGUGCCUUGGAUACUGGCAGGCUCGAGGGAGGUAGGGGCAGGUGGAACUUCCGGUGGAGCGGUGAAAUGCGUUGAUAUCGGAAGGAACGCCGGUGGCGAAAGCGACCUGCUGGACCUCUUCUGACGCUGAGGCGCGAAAGCUAGGGGAGCAAACGGGAUUAGAUACCCCGGUAGUCCUAGCCCUAAACGAUGGGUACUAGAUAGUGGACUAAACAUGGGUUCACUGUCGAAGCAAAAGUGGUAAGUACCCCGCCUGGGGAGUAUGGUCGCAAGGCUG
RNAcentral lists this ribosomal RNA (376 nucleotides) under uncultured bacterium. RNAcentral's name for it is "bacterial SSU rRNA". It matches the Rfam family "Bacterial small subunit ribosomal RNA", at positions 521 to 896 of the family's 1533-position model. The record is from RNAcentral.